UAGGGAAUCUUCGGCAAUGGACGAAAGUCUGACCGAGCAACGCCGCGUGAGUGAAGAAGGUUUUCGGAUCGUAAAACUCUGUUGUUAGAGAAGAACAAGGACGUUAGUAACUGAACGUCCCCUGACGGUAUCUAACCAGAAAGCCACGGCUAACUACGUGCCAGCAGCCGCGGUAAUACGUGGGUGGCAAGCGUUGUCCGGAUUUAUUGGGCGUAAAGCGAGCGCAGGCGGUUUCUUAAGUCUGAUGUGAAAGCCCCCGGCUCAACCGGGGAGGGUCAUUGGAAACUGGGAGACUUGAGUGCAGAAGAGGAGAGUGGAAUUCCAUGUGUAACGGUGAAAUGCGUAGAUAUAUGGAGGAACACCAGUGGCGAAGGCGGCUCUCUGGUCUGUAACUGACGCUGAGGCUCGAAAGCGUGGGGAGCAAACAGG
This 429-nucleotide ribosomal RNA is filed under the name Gemmatimonadota bacterium. RNAcentral describes it as "Gemmatimonadetes bacterium partial 16S ribosomal RNA". It matches the Rfam family "Bacterial small subunit ribosomal RNA", at positions 355 to 776 of the family's 1533-position model. Lineage: Bacteria; Pseudomonadati; Gemmatimonadota. The record is from RNAcentral.